CUUCAAAUUCUUUUUCUUGUUCAUUUUCAAUUUCAAGUUGCUUUUUGGAUUUAAGGUGCUCUUGUUUUCUUGCUCUUAACAACUUUUGAGAACUCUUCAAGCUCUCUUUUAGGUCAACUUUCGGUAAUUCAUCAAAUUCUGCUUUUAGUUUGGGCCAAAGGCUUAAAUAAGCCCUUGAAAUGUUCUCUAAUAUUCAAUUGAGUCCUGAAACAAAGUUUGGGAUCAAUUGGGCCGUUUAAGUUUUUUAAAAAGGACCUAAUAAACCCAAGUCUAACAGUCGUUGUCUUCUGUUAAUCUCUAUUAUGUGGGGCCCACUAAUUAGAACAUAAAUCCCCAAAUUGAAAGAGAAAUCUCUAAAUCAUUGGUUCCAACUUUGGCCUCUUUGCUGCCUCUCGUCGCUUCCAAGAUGAUCGAAUCAAUAUCCAUGGGCUUUGGUAGGUUGCUUCGUGUCUUCCCUUUCAAAUCGAUUCACUGGAUAAUAUUUCCCAUUCUCUGUUGUCUGCAAUUGGACCUAUAAUCUACUUUAUUGGGCGGAAUGGAUUGGUGUGUUAUGAUAAUUGGAGCGGCAUUAUUUCUCUCAGGUCUUCCAUGAUUUUUCUUGAAAAGAAAUUCACCAGCGCCGUAGCCUCUGGCAAACUUCGCGUUGUGGAAGUGGAUCACGUGAUUGUUGAUGCUUUUGACAAUGGGAUAGAUGCUAAAAGGAAAUUGCGAGAGAUUAAGCUUCUUUGACACAUGAACCUUGAAAAUGUCAGUUUCUUUGUUGCUAUUGGUCCUGAAUUCUUAAUAUUAACUUAUAUUGCCUCUUAGAAUUGUCUUUUGUCUUUUUGUUUUUAUAUGGAACAUCAUUUUUUGUAGUUAUAGACUUUUUAUUUUCCUUUUUAAUCCAUGAUUCAUUGUUGUUGGGUUACUUUCCUUCUUUCUUUUCUUAGUUUUGCUUUUGAAUGCCUAAUUAUGAAUGAGACAACUCAGAAAUUUCUAGGAGUACUCGUAAUAUUUUUUCAGUGGGUGCUGCUCUUUUCUCUAGUUUAAACACAGUGCUAAAAGAGGAAGAGCUUCUGUUCUUGAUGUCUUUUAACAACAACAAAGCUUAAUUAACGAUUGUUAACGUUCAUUCACGUGACCCAAAUUUGUGGUCCAAUUUGUAUGAUUUUUAAUAUUGUCAAUAUCUAUUUGUUAAUUUUAAAAACUUAAAGAACCUAAUUGACCCUAAACUUUGUUUAAGAGCUCAAUUGACUAUCAAAGAACACUUAUUUGUGCCUUUAGCCUUCAGUUUAAGUAUGCUAUCAAACUGUGACUUCGGUUGAGACAAACGUU
Molecule: unclassified non-coding RNA, 1314 nt
Filed under: Hevea brasiliensis (rubber tree)
Lineage: Eukaryota; Viridiplantae; Streptophyta; Magnoliopsida; Malpighiales; Euphorbiaceae
Source: RNAcentral